This 225-nucleotide long non-coding RNA is filed under the name Daucus carota (carrot). RNAcentral describes it as "long non-coding RNA (DCAR_LNC002131)". The record is from RNAcentral. Lineage: Eukaryota; Viridiplantae; Streptophyta; Magnoliopsida; Apiales; Apiaceae.
ACACGGAAGCAAACAGUAAGUUUGGUUGUGAUAUGCAAACGGAAAUUAGCUCGACUUGGGGAGCUGGGAGAGCAUGUUAAUUGCCCACUUCAACACACAGCCCAGCUCUUCUUCACUCCAGCAAAUACUGAACAUUGAGUCAGUGAACUGGAGAUUGUAUUUCGUCAGAAGUCCCAUAUUGCCCAUAUUGAAUUUUUUUUAUUCUCACACAAAAGUGGUCCCUCC